GUAAAUUGUUAGUGUAGAGCUCACCUAAGAGGUUUACCUUGACAGGGCAACUGAGCUUGCACUUUCAUGGCCAUUGGAGUGCUACUAAAGCCUGUUGUUUACAUGUGCAUAGGGAUUUGAUAUAGUGUGCAGUCUACUAUUUAUUUUAUUUUAUUUGCUUCUGCCAUUUUGUCUUUAAAGACUUGGAUCCAGAAGCACAGGAAUCCAUCUUGAUGGGUAAUAAUUGAGGAAGGCAUUCCAAUCACUCAAAUUUAUCACAGGGUGGAAGCUCCUCUUUGUCAGAACAAUAAAUAUGUUGUUGAGGAAUUCCCCUGACUGCAGCCUUCUCAAUGGCUGCCUUGAGUAUGAUGGAAUGAACCGUAUUGUCUAUUAAAGACCUCUGUGUUCUGCUGGGCACAAACAGUAUGGGAAAGCGUGAUUAGAUUGAACAUUGACAUAUGAUAUAACCCACAUACUGUUUCCAGAACCUACACAUCACAUCUGAUGAGAACCCUUCUCAGUUGUGGGGAAAAAAAACGAUGGCUGCCUGUCAAUGGUACAAGGAAAAGAAGGAUUUACAAUAACUAAGCUUACCUGUGUUGAAAUAUGGAAUGUCCAACAUGCUUCACGACCUUAGUGUGAUCCCUGCUGGGGUUAGAAUGUAGACUUUGGAAAUAAGUGGAGUCCUGGAAGAAUGAGGGGUUCUUUUGGUGUUCUCUUGGGCCAGAAGGCCAGAAACAGAUGGUGGCAUGAUCCCAAUGUUCAGCCUGCUGAAAACCAUGCUGGCUGUUAUUGAAAACCCUUUUCCUAGAUACCUGGACCUAUUAAGGGAGGCUUACAUAUUUCUGCUUAAUUUAACGCCUUAACUGCAAGAUUGGUUCACUCAUCUGGACCCCAAAGAUGCAUAUUUUACCAUCCCUAUUCCUCCUCAUUGCUGGACACUAGAAAAAUCUAUUAUUAAAUUUCCAAAAAUGUUUUUAUUAAAAAC
Molecule: non-coding RNA, 967 nt
Organism: Pelobates cultripes (western spadefoot toad)
Lineage: Eukaryota; Metazoa; Chordata; Amphibia; Anura; Pelobatidae
Source: the annotation of a GenBank genome assembly